RNAcentral lists this ribosomal RNA (491 nucleotides) under uncultured bacterium. RNAcentral describes it as "partial 16S ribosomal RNA". It matches the Rfam family "Bacterial small subunit ribosomal RNA", at positions 29 to 507 of the family's 1533-position model. The record is from RNAcentral.
GUGAACGCUGGCGGUAGGCCUAACACAUGCAAGUCGAACGGCAGCACAGUAAGAGCUUGCUCUUACGGGUGGCGAGUGGCGGACGGGUGAGGAAUACAUCGGAAUCUACUUUUUCGUGGGGGAUAACGUAGGGAAACUUACGCUAAUACCGCAUACGACCUACGGGUGAAAGCAGGGGAUCUUCGGACCUUGCGCGAUUGAAUGAGCCAAUGUCGGAUUAGCUAGUUGGCGGGGUAAAGGCCCACCAAGGCGACGAUCCGUAGCUGGUCUGAGAGGAUGAUCAGCCACACUGGAACUGAGACACGGUCCAGACUCCUACGGGAGGCAGCAGUGGGGAAUAUUGGACAAUGGGCGCAAGCCUGAUCCAGCCAUACCGCGUGGGUGAAGAAGGCCUUCGGGUUGUAAAGCCCUUUUGUUGGGAAAGAAAAGCAGCAGGUUAAUACCCCGCUGUUCUGACGGUACCCAAAGAAUAAGCACCGGCUAACUUCGUG